GGUGAAAAUAGCUCAGCGGUAGAGCACAGGUAUGUGGGACCAAAGGUCGAGAGUUCAAAUCUCUUUUUUCACU
Molecule: transfer RNA, 73 nt
Filed under: Cinachyrella kuekenthali
Lineage: Eukaryota; Metazoa; Porifera; Demospongiae; Tetractinellida; Tetillidae
Description: tRNA-His
Rfam family: tRNA
About the family: Transfer RNA (tRNA) molecules are approximately 80 nucleotides in length. Their secondary structure includes four short double-helical elements and three loops (D, anti-codon, and T loops). Further hydrogen bonds mediate the characteristic L-shaped molecular structure. tRNAs have two regions of fundamental functional importance: the anti-codon, which is responsible for specific mRNA codon recognition, and the 3' end, to which the tRNAs corresponding amino acid is attached (by aminoacyl-tRNA synthetases). tRNAs cope with the degeneracy of the genetic code in two manners: having more than one tRNA (with a specific anti-codon) for a particular amino acid; and 'wobble' base-pairing, i.e. permitting non-standard base-pairing at the 3rd anti-codon position.
Source: RNAcentral